This 1293-nucleotide ribosomal RNA is filed under the name Triticum aestivum (bread wheat). RNAcentral's name for it is "partial small subunit ribosomal RNA". Lineage: Eukaryota; Viridiplantae; Streptophyta; Magnoliopsida; Poales; Poaceae. The record is from RNAcentral.
AUGGAGGCGCAGCCGCCGGAGAUCGACGCGCCGGCGACCGCCUUUUGGUCCUUGUCCUCGUCCUCUUCGCCGACGGCUAAGAGAACUCGUUAUGCCUCUGCCUCCUCCAUCUUUGCCGCAUCCAGGCCGUGUGGAUGGGCAGAGCUCCCGGAAGAUUUUCUCCAAUCAUUAGUCGCUCGCCUCGGCUCCUUCCACGACCUCCUCGCCUUCGGUGCCACCUGUCGUCCUUGGCGUGAUCUAUUGUCAGCACGCACGCCCUCUUUGCAGCCUCUCCUCCUACACCCGAGUACCGAGAGCCAACGAUCUCCCUGGUAUCACCAAUGGAUCGUUUUCCAGGAAUGCACGUGGAAAUUGUCUGAUCCGUGGAGAUUGGAUAAUUCAGUUGCCGCCUCAUCCUGGCACAGUUUGCUUUCCUUGAGUGACCUCAGAAGAAUGUUCUUUCUGCGCUGCUCCUACGGUCACCUCAUCUUCUGCGACGAAGAUGGGUUCUACAUUGUUAAUGCGUUCAGUGGUGCUAAGGUUGUGCCUCCUCGCCUCAAGUCAGGUAACUUCACCCGCGUUAACUAUGUCACCUUGACUGCCCCUGUUGCAUCUGCGGACUCGCAUCUCCUUGUCGGCAGUGGAGUCUAUCUGUUCCAGUGGCGCAUCGGGAGCGACUCUUGGUCAGAACACUGUCCUAAAGUUCUUCUUCUUAAGAUUGAACAAAUGGUGGCCUUCAAGGGCAAAACAUACGCCCUAGGGUCUUUUGGGUCCUUCUGCAUCGUACACUUGUCACCUAGUCUCAUAAUUCAGAAGUUUAAACUUGUGUUUGAGGAAGAUAGAACCGAAGAUCUCUAUUGGACAAAUCAAAAAACAUGGCUUGUGGCGUGCGGCGAUGCACUUCUUUUGAUCAAACUUGAGGCAGGAAGGAAGAUAUGCUCGGAGGUUGAGCCCGUCCAGUUCAAGGCCUUCAAACUCGAGUCACUUGAUGCCGUGAACAGGAAGGCAAGGUGCGUGAAGUUGGACAGGUUGGAUAACUGGGCCAUCUUUGUCAGUGCCGACGUGCGAUGCGAGGCGUUGCCAUGCAUGAACCCGGAGAGAUGGCGAGGGAAAAGCAACCACAUAUACUUCCCAUGUUAUCAGUCUCAACAGCCAUGGGCUGCAGUCAAACUGUGGAAAAAAUAUAACGACCUUGCGAGAUGUUUGCAGCUCGUGAAUACUGGAAUUCAGUUCCAUAGAUUGGAGUCAACCUGGAUCCUUCCCGGCACAUUUCCUCGCUCUGGUAUGGCAAUUGAGGAUGCGACCGGUGAUUAG